GCUGGUGUAGCUCCAAAGGUAGAGCAGUUGGCUGUUAACCAAUUGGUUGAAGGUUCAAAUCCUUCCAUUAGCG
RNAcentral lists this transfer RNA (73 nucleotides) under Paramecium tetraurelia. RNAcentral describes it as "tRNA-Asn for anticodon GUU". It matches the Rfam family "tRNA". Rfam says of the family: Transfer RNA (tRNA) molecules are approximately 80 nucleotides in length. Their secondary structure includes four short double-helical elements and three loops (D, anti-codon, and T loops). RNAcentral also lists the same sequence under 1 other name. Lineage: Eukaryota; Ciliophora; Oligohymenophorea; Peniculida; Parameciidae. The record is from Rfam by way of RNAcentral.